AUGGCCGACGAAUCCGCCACCCAAAGCCAGGCCCGCGGGUGCAGCUCGUACCCCUUCUCGUUCCCUUCCCAGCCGCCGGACAUCAAGAACUGGUUCUCGAGUUACCAGUACGAGUCGCCGGAGGUGCCGGAGCUGGCUGUUCACCCUCCUGCUGUCGACAACGGCAGCGAGACCCAAGACCCAUUGGAGUUCCCGGUGGCUGGGCAUUCAUUUCUUAAAGACGCCCCUGGGAAUGGCGGCACUGAUUUGAAGAGGGAUUGUUUUGGGAGCCAAGCUGAGCAUGCUGAGGCUUCUGCUACGAGAGAUUUCCUUCCGAUUGGUGGGAGCACUGUUGAACAGGGCACGAAAAGGAAGCAAAGCCUGCGGGGGCUGUUUGGUUUUCUGGAUGACCAUGAAGAGGGUACUCAAACUGAAAAUCGGGUGGCGUCGCCUGUGCAGAGAAGUGCGGUGGAUCCUCCGUGGAACCGCAACUGGGUAGGCUUACAGAAUAGAAAGCGCAGCCAUGAAGGCAUGGUUGAACACAGCGAGCUACCAACGGAUAGUGAGAGCACUUGUAUAGCUGAAACUCAAACUGAAAGUCGAGUGGUGUUGCCUGUGCUGAGAAGUGCAAUGGAUCGUCCAUGGGACUGCAACUGGAUAGGCUUGCGGAAUAGAAAGCGCAUCCAUGAAGGUGUAGUUGAACACAGCGAGCUGCCGAUGGAUAGUGAGAGCACCUGUGUAGCUGAAACUCAGACUGAUAGUCGAGUGGUGUUGCCUGCGCUGAGAAGUGCAGUAGAUCCUCUGUGCGACUGCAACUGGAUAGGCUUAAGGAAUAGAAAGCGCAGCCAUGAAGGCGUAGAUGAACACAGUGAGCUGCCGACAGAUAGUGAGAGCACUUGUAUAGCUGAAACUCAGACUGAUAGUCGAGUGGUGUUGGGCUUAAGGAAUAGAAAGCGCAGCCAUGAAGGCGUAGCUGAACACAGCGAGCUGCUGAUGGAUAGCGAGGGCACUUGUGUAGCUGAAACUCAGUUAAACCCCCCGGGAGGUCAGGAGACCAAGCACAGUAAAGGUUCAGUUAAUUGUGGUGGUACUAGUUUAGCAGCAGAUAAUGAAGAAGGUUUACCAGAAGAUGGCACUGAAAGUAACCUGCCAGUUAAUUUUCACAGUAAAGGCCUAGCAGAUGCGGAGAAAACUAAGCAAAGUCUGCGAGGGUUGUUUGAAGCAGAUUUUCUUGACAACCGUGACGAAGCUACUCAAACUGAAAGUCGGGUGGCGUCGUCUGUGCUGAGAAGUGCAGUAGAUCCUCGUUGGGACUGCAACUGGAUAGGCUUACGGAAUAGAAAGCGCAGCCAUGAAGGCGCAGUUGAAUACAGCGAGCUGGUGACGGAUAGUGAGGGCACUUGUAUAGCUGAAACACAAGUAAACCCCCCAGGAGGUCAGCAGACCAACCCCAGCAAGCAUCCAGUUAAUUGUGGUGGUACUAGUUUAGAAGAUGGCAUUGAACAUAGCAACCUGCCAGUUAAUUUUCCUAGUAAAGGCCUAGCGGGUAGUGAGAAGACUAAGUUAAGUCUGCGGAAAUUGUUUGGAUCAGGUUUUCUUGACGACGGUGAUGAAGCUAAUGAAUCUGAAACUCGGGCUGUGUUGGCUGUACAGAGAAAUGCAGUACAGCCUCUGACAAACUGCAACGCUGUAGGCUUACCUCAUAUUGAACAAACCCAUGACGGUGCAUCUGGAUACAGUGAGCUACCGGCAGAUUGUCAUGCCAUCAGUACAGGUGAAACUCAAGAAAAUCCCCCAUCAGGUCAGGUGAUUGAACACAACAGGCUGCCUGUUUACUGUUGUAGUACGAGUUUAGCAGGGGAUACUGAAGGUGGUUUUGUAGAAGAUGGCAUUGAGCGCACCAAAAUGCCAGUCAAUUCUCCUAAUAAAGUCCUAGCUGACAUUGAGAAAACUGCCACUGAACACUACAUACCGCCUGUUAGUUCUGGUGGUAUUGGUUCAGCUGUCACAAAUGGAAGCUUUUCUGGAGAUGAAAUCAAGCGAAGCAAGCCUAAACUGGAGCAUAAGAAAACAGAAGGAACAGCCGCGGCCGAUGGUUUCGUUGCCAUCAGGACAAAGGUGAAGCCAGCAGAGAAAUGCAGGACAAGCAAAAUUCCUAAGGUCUCAACAGGAAGAGAGAAUACAACAUUGCAAGAGAACCGCCGCAUUUUGGGGACUACUGCUUUGGGCCAAGGUAGCACUAGAAGCCCCUUGUCAGAUAGGACCAAUAUUUCAGAAGUUGCAGGAGCUCCAGCACAGGAGGUCAGCGGGAAAUGGAAGUGCCCUCGCAAGGGCAAGCCCUAUGUUGGCCCUCCGAUGAAACAGCUGCGGUUGGAACAAUGGGUGCGCCGAGUGUAA
This 2376-nucleotide ribosomal RNA is filed under the name Triticum aestivum (bread wheat). RNAcentral describes it as "partial small subunit ribosomal RNA". Lineage: Eukaryota; Viridiplantae; Streptophyta; Magnoliopsida; Poales; Poaceae. The record is from RNAcentral.